This is a long non-coding RNA of Cercocebus atys (sooty mangabey), 473 nucleotides long. RefSeq lists it as uncharacterized. The transcript has 3 exons. The record is from RefSeq and is a predicted model, not a curated record. Lineage: Eukaryota; Metazoa; Chordata; Mammalia; Primates; Cercopithecidae.
UGUGCCUGAGCCACAGAGUGAGACUCCAUCUCAAAUAAAUAAAUAAAUGAAUAAAUAAAGGAAGACUGCAAAGAGGAGUGAGGGUCCCUCCAAAAGCUUGGAAAUAAAGUAAGCAGAUGAAUUGAACCUUCCAUGGAACUAAAGAUUAUCAAUAAAUGUGUCUUGCAUGUGAGAAUGGUUCAUACUAGUCACCUGAUUUGGGUGUGUAAGUUGGAGAAGACGUGCUUGGAAUGUGACUGUAAUUAAGAAUGGUUAACUCUUUAAUUGUACAGGCUGAAGAGAGAAUAUGAGAGAGGGGACAUGGGGGAAUUCAGAGGGCAAGAAUCUGAUGUAUAGUCAGCACUGAAGACCUGAUGAUGAACUCAAGUCUCAGAAAAGAAGGUAGCUUGCCCAAGUCACAUGGCCUGAUGGAAAGACGCCAGGAAAGAUCGAAGCAUCUACCCUGAUGGGUUACACCAGAGCUUCUAGAAGGG